UUUUUUUGACGACCCCUGGCGGCAGGCCUAACACAUGCAAGUCGAGCGCGCUCUUCGGAGUGAGCGGCGGACGGGUUAGUAACGCGUGGGAACGUACCCAGAUCUACGGAAUAGCCUCGGGAAACUGAGAGUAAUACCGUAUACGCCCUUCGGGGGAAAGAUUUAUCGGAUUUGGAUCGGCCCGCGUUAGAUUAGAUAGUUGGUGAGGUAACGGCUCACCAAGUCUACGAUCUAUAGCUGGUUUUAGAGGAUGAUCAGCAACACUGGGACUGAGACACGGCCCAGACUCCUACGGGAGGCAGCAGUGGGGAAUCUUGGACAAUGGGCGCAAGCCUGAUCCAGCCAUGCCGCGUGAGUGAUGAAGGCCUUAGGGUCGUAAAGCUCUUUCGCCAGAGAUGAUAAUGACAGUAUCUGGUAAAGAAACCCCGGCUAACUCCGUGCCAGCAGCCGCGGUAAUACGGAGGGGGUUAGCGUUGUUCGGAAUUACUGGGCGUAAAGCGCGCGUAGGCGGACCAGAAAGUUAGGGGUGAAAUCCCGGGGCUCAACCCCGGGACUGCCUCUAAAACUCCUGAUCUAGAGUUCGAGAGAGGUGAGUGGCAUUCCCAGUGU
This 609-nucleotide ribosomal RNA is filed under the name uncultured bacterium. RNAcentral's name for it is "bacterial SSU rRNA". It matches the Rfam family "Bacterial small subunit ribosomal RNA", at positions 20 to 676 of the family's 1533-position model. The record is from RNAcentral.